UACAGAGACCUCAAGCGUUAUCCGGAAUCAUUGGGCGUAAAGCGUACCGAUAGGUGGCUUACAAAGUCAGAAGUGAAAUCCUAAGGCUUAACCUUGGGAAUGUCUUUUGAAACUUGUAAGCUAGAGGGGCAAAGAGGAAGCUGGAACGAACGGUGUAGUAGUGAAAUGCGUUGAUAUCGUUCGGAACACCAAUAGCGUAGGCAGGCUUCUGGGUGCCACCUGACACUGCUAGGACGAGAGCGUGGGGAGCGAAUGGG
Molecule: ribosomal RNA, 257 nt
Filed under: uncultured bacterium
Lineage: Bacteria
Description: partial 16S ribosomal RNA
Rfam family: Bacterial small subunit ribosomal RNA
Source: RNAcentral